GAUGAACGCUGGCGGCAGGCCUAACACAUGCAAGUCGAGCGGUAGCACAGAGAGCUUGCUCUCGGGUGACGAGCGGCGGACGGGUGAGUAAUGUCUGGGAAACUGCCUGAUGGAGGGGGAUAACUACUGGAAACGGUAGCUAAUACCGCAUAACGUCGCAAGACCAAAGAGGGGGACCUUCGGGCCUCUUGCCAUCAGAUGUGCCCAGAUGGGAUUAGCUAGUAGGUGGGGUAACGGCUCACCUAGGCGACGAUCCCUAGCUGGUCUGAGAGGAUGACCAGCCACACUGGAACUGAGACACGGUCCAGACUCCUACGGGAGGCAGCAGUGGGGAAUUUUGGACAAUGGGCGCAAGCCUGAUCCAGCCAUGCCGCGUGUCUGAAGAAGGCCUUCGGGUUGUAAAGGACUUUUGUCCGGGAGCAAAUGCUGGUGGCUAACAUCCACCGGAGCUGAGAGUACCGGAAGAAUAAGCACCGGCUAACUACGUGCCAGCCGCCGCAGUAA
Molecule: ribosomal RNA, 504 nt
Filed under: uncultured bacterium
Lineage: Bacteria
Description: partial 16S ribosomal RNA
Rfam family: Bacterial small subunit ribosomal RNA
Source: RNAcentral